AGACAGCAGUAGCCGCGGGAAUACGUAGGGUGCAAGCGUUAAUCGGAAUUACUGGGCGUAAAGCGUGCGCAGGCGGUUAUAUAAGACAGAUGUGAAAUCCCCGGGCUCAACCUGGGAACUGCAUUUGUGACUGUAUAGCUAGAGUACGGCAGAGGGGGAUGGAAUUCCGCGUGUAGCAGUGAAAUGCGUAGAUAUGCGGAGGAACACCGAUGGCGAAGGCAAUCCCCUGGGCCUGUACUGACGCUCAUGCACGAAAGCGUGGGGAGCAAACAGGAUUAGAUACCCCCGUAGUCCCUGUCUCUUAUAA
This 307-nucleotide ribosomal RNA is filed under the name uncultured bacterium. RNAcentral's name for it is "partial 16S ribosomal RNA". It matches the Rfam family "Bacterial small subunit ribosomal RNA", at positions 506 to 809 of the family's 1533-position model. The record is from RNAcentral.